This 405-nucleotide ribosomal RNA is filed under the name uncultured bacterium. RNAcentral's name for it is "bacterial SSU rRNA". It matches the Rfam family "Bacterial small subunit ribosomal RNA", at positions 355 to 776 of the family's 1533-position model. The record is from RNAcentral.
UGGGGAAUAUUGCACAAUGGGCGCAAGCCUGAUGCAGCGACUCUGCGUGAAGGAUGAAGCCCCGUGGGGUGUAAACUUCUUUUCUGGGGGAAGACGAUUGACGGUACCUCAGGAAUAAGAGACGGCUAACUUCGUGCCAGCAGCCGCGGUAAUACGAAGGUCUCGAGCGUUAUCCGGAUUUAUUGGGCGUAAAGCGUCUGUAGCCUGAUUUGUAAGUCUAUUUUCAAAUAUCUCAACUCAAUUGAGAAAAGGGAAUAGAUACUGCAUGUCUAGAGUGUUUUAGGGGUUAGCAGAAUUUCCUGUGGAGCGGUGAAAUGCGUUGAUAUAGGAAGGAAUGCCAAAAGCGAAAGCAGCUAACCAUAAAACCACUGACGGUGAGAGACGACAGCGUGGGGAGCAAACGGG